AAUUACCCAAUCCUGACACAGGGAGGUAGUGACAAGAAAUAACAAUACAGGGCUAAUGUCUUGUAAUUGGAAUGAUGGUGACCCAAACCCUCACCAGAGUAGCAAUUGGAGGGCAAGUCUGGUGCCAGCAGCCGCGGUAAUUCCAGCUCCAAUAGCGUAUAUUAAACUUGUUGCAGUUAAAAAGCUCGUAGUUGAAUUUUAGCGUGUUCGAGUUUGCCAUUCGUUUGGCUUUUUCGAGUUCGCUUUUGGGUUUUCCCUUUUUACUUUGAGAAAAUUAGAGUGUUUCAAGCAGACUUUUGUCUUGAAUACUUCAGCAUGGAAUAAUAGAGUAGGACUUUGGUUCUAUUUUGUUGGUUAUUGAACCUUAGUAAUGGUUAAUAGGAACGGUUGGGGGCAUUCGUAUUUA
Molecule: ribosomal RNA, 406 nt
Filed under: Babesia vogeli
Lineage: Eukaryota; Apicomplexa; Aconoidasida; Piroplasmida; Babesiidae
Description: SSU rRNA
Rfam family: Eukaryotic small subunit ribosomal RNA
Source: RNAcentral